This 35-nucleotide transfer RNA is filed under the name Schizocodon soldanelloides. Its description in RNAcentral is "partial tRNA-Lys". RNAcentral also lists the same sequence under 1 other name. Lineage: Eukaryota; Viridiplantae; Streptophyta; Magnoliopsida; Ericales; Diapensiaceae. The record is from RNAcentral.
UCGAAUCCCGGGCAACCCAUUGGUAUAGCCAAAUU